This 95-nucleotide small nuclear RNA is filed under the name Allactaga major (great jerboa). RNAcentral describes it as "4.5S RNA(H)". Lineage: Eukaryota; Metazoa; Chordata; Mammalia; Rodentia; Dipodidae. The record is from RNAcentral.
GCCGGUUGUGGUGGCGCACGCCGGUAGGAAUUUGCUGAAGAGGUGGAGGUAGGAGGAUCAUGAGUUCGAGGCCAGCCUGGGCUACACAUUUUUUU